RNAcentral lists this small RNA (38 nucleotides) under Anaerobutyricum hallii. Its description in RNAcentral is "CRISPR_Spacer". Lineage: Bacteria; Bacillati; Bacillota; Clostridia; Lachnospirales; Lachnospiraceae. The record is from RNAcentral.
UUCUUAAUUAUGAUGAAGCUAUCAACUUUUUCUCUUUU